UACGUAGGGUGCAAGCGUUGUCCGGAAUUAUUGGGCGUAAAGAGCUCGUAGGCGGUUUGUCGCGUCUGCUGUGAAAUCCCGAGGCUCAACCUCGGGCCUGCAGUGGGUACGGGCAAACUAGAGUGCGGUAGGGGAGAUUGGAAUUCCUGGUGUAGCGGUGGAAUGCGCAGAUAUCAGGAGGAACACCGAUGGCGAAGGCAGAUCUCUGGGCCGUAACUGACGCUGAGGAGCGAAAGCAUGGGGAGCGAACAGG
This 253-nucleotide ribosomal RNA is filed under the name uncultured bacterium. RNAcentral's name for it is "partial 16S ribosomal RNA". It matches the Rfam family "Bacterial small subunit ribosomal RNA", at positions 524 to 776 of the family's 1533-position model. The record is from RNAcentral.